UCAAAAACAUGUCUUUUUGAUAAUAAUUUAAAGUCUCAUCUGCCCACUGAUAUAAAUAUUAAAGGGCUGCAGUAUAUUGACUGUACAAAGGUAGCAUAAUCAUUAGUCUUUUAAUUGAAGACUUGUAUGAAAGAUUUGAUGAAAUAUAAUCUGUCUCUAUUUUAUAAAUAGAAAUUAAUUUUUUAGUUAAAAAGCUAAAAUAAUAUUAAAAGACGAGAAGACCCUAUAAAGUUUUAUAAUUUAUUCAUUUUUUAUUAAUUAUGAAAAUAAAUAUAAUAAUUAAGUAAAUUAUUUUAUUGGGGUGAUAGAAAAAUUAAAUAAACUUUUUUUAAAAUAAAACAUAAAUAAGUGAAAUAUUGAUCCAUUAAUAAUGAUUAGAAGAAAAAAUUACUUUAGGGAUAACAGCGUAAUAUUUUUUUUUAGUACGAAUAAAAAAAAAAGUUUGCGACCUCGAUGUUGGAUUAAGAUAAAAUUUAAAUGCAAAAGUUUAAAAUUUUGAUCUGUUCGAUCAUUAAAAUCUUACAUGAUCUGAGCU
RNAcentral lists this ribosomal RNA (535 nucleotides) under Phyciodes mylitta (Mylitta crescentspot). Its description in RNAcentral is "partial 16S ribosomal RNA". The stretch from base 398 to 535 matches the Rfam family "Archaeal large subunit ribosomal RNA", at positions 2542 to 2680 of the family's 2987-position model. Lineage: Eukaryota; Metazoa; Arthropoda; Insecta; Lepidoptera; Nymphalidae. The record is from RNAcentral.